This 383-nucleotide RNase P RNA is filed under the name bacterium. RNAcentral's name for it is "RNase P RNA component class A". It matches the Rfam family "Bacterial RNase P class A". From Rfam's summary of the family: Ribonuclease P (RNase P) is a ubiquitous endoribonuclease, found in archaea, bacteria and eukarya as well as chloroplasts and mitochondria. Its best characterised activity is the generation of mature 5'-ends of tRNAs by cleaving the 5'-leader elements of precursor-tRNAs. RNAcentral also lists the same sequence under 2 other names. The record is from RNAcentral.
GGAGUUAGCCAGGCAAUCGCUAUUAGAUCUUGAAGAAAAUAAUCAUAUUUUUCUUCGAAAGAAUUCUGGUAGAGGAAAGUCCGGGCUCCACAGGGUAAAGGUGCCAGGUAACGCCUGGGAGGCGCGAGCCUACGGAAAGUGCAGCAGAAAAUAUACCGCCCGGCGAUUAAUAUCGUCGGGUAAGGGUGAAAUGGUGCGGUAAGAGCGCACCGCGUGUACGGUAACGGACACGGCAGUGCAAACCCCACCCGGAGCAAGACCAAAUAGGAAUCCAUUGGCGUGGCCCGCGCUGGGUUCGGGUAGGUCGCUUGAGGUUCAUGGUGACGUGGAUCCUAGAUGAAUGAUUGUCCUAGACAGAACCCGGCUUAUGGCUGACUCAAUUU